This 484-nucleotide ribosomal RNA is filed under the name uncultured bacterium. RNAcentral describes it as "partial 16S ribosomal RNA". It matches the Rfam family "Bacterial small subunit ribosomal RNA", at positions 30 to 507 of the family's 1533-position model. The record is from RNAcentral.
AUUGAACGCUGGCGGCAGGCCUAACGCAUGCAAGUCGAGCGGAUGAAGGGAGCUUGCUCCUGGAUUCAGCGGCGGACAGGUGAGUAAUGCCUAGGAAUCUGCCUGGUAGUGGGGGAUAACGUCCGGAAACGGGCGCUAAUACCGCAUACGUCCUGAGGGAGAAAGUGGGGGAUCUUCGGACCUCACGCUAUCAGAUGAGCCUAGGUCGGAUUAGCUAGUUGGUGGGGUAAAGGCCUACCAAGGCGACGAUCCGUAACUGGUCUGAGAGGAUGAUCAGUCACACUGGAACUGAGACACGGUCCAGACUCCUACGGGAGGCAGCAGUGGGGAAUAUUGGACAAUGGGCGAAAGCCUGAUCCAGCCAUGCCGCGUGUGUGAAGAAGGUCUUCGGAUUGUAAAGCACUUUAAGUUGGGAGGAAGGGCAGUAAGUUAAUACCUUGCUGUUUUGACGUUACCAACAGAAUAAGCACCGGCUAACUUCGUG